RNAcentral lists this ribosomal RNA (497 nucleotides) under uncultured bacterium. Its description in RNAcentral is "partial 16S ribosomal RNA". It matches the Rfam family "Bacterial small subunit ribosomal RNA", at positions 28 to 507 of the family's 1533-position model. The record is from RNAcentral.
GAUGAACGCUGGCGGCGUGCCUAAUACAUGCAAGUCGAGCGAACAGACGAGGAGCUUGCUCCUCUGACGUUAGCGGCGGACGGGUGAGUAACACGUGGAUAACCUACCUAUAAGACUGGCAUAACUUCGGGAAACCGGAGCUAAUACCGGAUAAUAUAUUGAACUGCAUGGUUCAAUAGUGAAAGACGGUUUUGCUGUCACUUAUAGAUGAAUCCGCGCCGCAUUAGCUAGUUGGUAAGGUAACGGCUUACCAAGGCAACGAUGCGUAGCCGACCUGAGAGGGUGAUCGGCCACACUGGAACUGAGACACGGUCCAGACUCCUACGGGAGGCAGCAGUAGGGAAUCUUCCGCAAUGGGCGAAAGCCUGACGGAGCAACGCCGCGUGAGUGAUGAAGGUCUUCGGAUCGUAAAACUCUGUUAUUAGGGAAGAACAAAUGUGUAAGUAACUAUGCACGUCUUGACGGUACCUAAUCAGAAAGCCACGGCUAACUACGUG